RNAcentral lists this unclassified non-coding RNA (266 nucleotides) under Hevea brasiliensis (rubber tree). The record is from RNAcentral. Lineage: Eukaryota; Viridiplantae; Streptophyta; Magnoliopsida; Malpighiales; Euphorbiaceae.
CAGCUUUCUUCAACCAAUUCUAAAAGUGCCAAAAUUUGCCAAUAUGGCCAUCCUCUUGUUAUGUGUCUUAGCGUAGGAUCAUGUCAUAGGACGGUGAGAGCUUUAACCUCUAAAUUGUAAUGAAGGUUGUUAGAGGGAGCUUGUAACCUCUUGAAAAUAUUAUUAUAGAAAUUCUGUUUAUUUUAUUCAUUCAACAUGUUCUCCUUAUAUAGAGAUUACAUGGUCGCAUAAAUGGAAUAAUAUCCUAAUUAUAGCCAACAUUCAAG